AACAAACGCUGGCGGCGUGCCUAACACAUGCAAGUCGUACGAGAAAGGGUCCUUCGGGACCUGAGUAAAGUGGCGCACGGGUGAGUAACGCGUGGAUAAUCUGCCCUUCAGUUGGGAAUAACUCAUCGAAAGGUGGGCUAAUACCGGAUAAUGCUGUACUGCUUCGGCCGUAUAGCCAAAGAGAGCCUCUGCAUGCAAGCCCUCACUUAAGGAUGAGUCCGCGUACCAUUAGCUAGUUGGCAGGGUAAUGGCCUACCAAGGCGACGAUGGUUAGCUGGUCUGAGAGGAUGAUCAGCCACACUGGAACUGAGACACGGUCCGGACUCCUACGGGAGCAG
RNAcentral lists this ribosomal RNA (338 nucleotides) under uncultured Pseudomonadota bacterium. RNAcentral describes it as "bacterial SSU rRNA". It matches the Rfam family "Bacterial small subunit ribosomal RNA", at positions 29 to 351 of the family's 1533-position model. The record is from RNAcentral. Lineage: Bacteria; Pseudomonadati; Pseudomonadota.